GAGGUCAUUUCAUAGCUGUAUUUAAUUUUAAACCCAAUAAUCCAGUGUGCAUGUCAACGCUGUUAUGCAAAUCUGAGAAUUUAGAUACAAGGUAGCCAGACAGAUUUUCCAGAAGAUGAAGCCUCUUGGCCUCAGAACAAGACGACUUACAUAGUUCAUCUCUACUGUACAGAAUACUGCCUCUAUCUGGACUCUGUGUCGCUAGCACACCACAGUUCACAAGUGUCCUCCUCACUUUCUACACAAUCUGUGUUUCGGUACUUGAACAUGUAAUUCAGGAAUUUUACACUAAUUUAUACAUUUUUUAAUUGGUUGCAUAUAUUAACAUGUACUAUAAGAUUUCUCCUAAAGAAGCAUUACAUAAUACAUGGAUACUGUAAAAAGAUCUGAUUAGUUAAAAGUAACAAGCAUUAACAGAGAUACAUACAAAACUCAACCUAGUUAGACUGAGUGCUGAGCUUGCAAUGAACUAUGGGUAAUCAGCCUUUCCAGUUGCAGCCUUCACAGGGGAAAACACAAGACAGUUAAAAAUGUAUGUAACUUGUUACACAGAUUACCUGUAAACAGUUUCUCUCCAUUGGACACCUGGAAUUAGACUCAGUUCCAAACAUACAGAAGAAUUUCCAUUUUAAACUAAGAGAAAGGUCUGUUACCAUGAAGUGUGAUGUGGAUGGUGCGGGGAUGUGAGCUCUGAAGUGCUGGGCUCUCAGAUGCUCAUGGGAGAUGGGUGGAUUUUGGCAGCUGGAGAUGGAAUUUUUUUUUAAAUUUUGUUUUUAAACACAGAAGAGGGGCUGUGUGUGUUUGAAGGCCUAAGUGUGAUAUUCGUUUGUGAAGGACUGUGCUCAACCCCUCCCUCUUCCCUCAGCAGCUGCAGCUCUCCGCAGAAGCCUUCACUCGGUCGUUCUUGUCUAGUUUGAUGGGUUCGGGGAAUUCGUUGUAAAGCUCCACUUCGGUUUCCUGUUUAAGUGCAUUUCGUGCAAUCGUCUGGAAAGCUUGUUCCACGUUAAUGGCCUCCUUGGCACUGGUUUCAAAGUAGGGGAUGUUGUUUUUACUGUAGCACCAGGCUUGUGCCCGUUUUGUGGUGACUUGUCUGUUUUCUAGGUCGAUCUUGUUUCCCAGGACAACAAAGGGAAAGUUCUCAGGAUCCCUUGGACUGGCCUGAAUGAGAAACUCGUCCCUCCAGCUGUCAAGGGUUUUGAAUGUGUUAGGGGCCGUGACAUCAAACACCAGCACACAGCAGUCUGCUCCCCUGUAGAAGGCAACUCCCAGAGACUGGAAUCGUUCUUGGCCUGCUGUAUCCCAUAUCUGCAUUGUCACUAGCCUGUCAUCCACCAUGACCUCUUUUGUCAGGAAGUCUGCACCUAUCGUAGCCUUGUACUGGUUACUAAAUUUCUUGUUCACAUACUGGUUCAUGAGUGAUGUCUUCCCCACCCCAGAGUCUCCGAGGAUGAUGACUUUCAGUAACACUUUCUUCCUAGAAGUCAUCUUUUAAACGUGGUGCGUGUGCCGCAGCGCCCGCCCGAACCUCGCUGUCCCUCCCCCGCUCGUCUCGGUCGGCUUUAUCGGGCCCAACCACCUCCCCGCUUUCAC
Molecule: long non-coding RNA, 1590 nt
Filed under: Gallus gallus (chicken)
Lineage: Eukaryota; Metazoa; Chordata; Aves; Galliformes; Phasianidae
Source: RNAcentral